AUUGAACGCUGGCGGCAUGCCUUACACAUGCAAGUCGAACGGCAGCACGGGAGCAAUCCUGGUGGCGAGUGGCGAACGGGUGAGUAAUGUAUCGGAACGUACCUUUCAGUGGGGGAUAACGUAGCGAAAGUUACGCUAAUACCGCAUAUUCUGUGAGCAGGAAAGCAGGGGAUCGCAAGACCUUGCGCUGAUUGAGCGGCCGAUAUCAGAUUAGCUAGUUGGUGAGGUAAAGGCUCACCAAGGCGACGAUCUGUAGCGGGUCUGAGAGGAUGAUCCGCCACACUGGAACUUAGACACGGUCCGACG
RNAcentral lists this ribosomal RNA (306 nucleotides) under uncultured bacterium. RNAcentral's name for it is "bacterial SSU rRNA". It matches the Rfam family "Bacterial small subunit ribosomal RNA", at positions 30 to 337 of the family's 1533-position model. The record is from RNAcentral.